GGUUAAGCGAAUAAGCGUACACGGUGGAUGCCUAGGCAAUCAGAGGCGAUGAAGGACGUGCUAAUCUGCGAAAAGCGUCGGUAAGGUGAUAUGAACCGUUAUACCCGACGAUAUCCGAAUGGGGAAACCCAGUAUCCAAUGGAUACUAUCAUUAACUGAAUCCAUAGGUUAAUGAGGCGAACCGGGAGAACUGAAACAUCUCAGUACCCCGAGGAAAAGAAAUCAACCGAGAUUCCCCUAGUAGCGGCGAGCGAACGGGGAGCAGCCCAGAGUCUUAAUCAAUAACAGUGUCAGGAGAACGGUCUGGAAAGUCCGGCAGUAAAGGGUGAUAGCCCCGUAUCUGAAGAUGCUGUUAUUGUGAACUCGACGAGUAGGGCGGGACACGUGUUAUCCUGUCUGAAUAUGGGGGGACCAUCCUCCAAGGCUAAAUACUCCUGAUUGACCGAUAGUGAACCAGUACCGUGAGGGAAAGGCGAAAAGAACCCCGGCGAGGGGAGUGAAAAAGAACCUGAAACCGUGUACGUACAAGCAGUAGGAGCCUCUUUAUGGGGUGACUGCGUACCUUUUGUAUAAUGGGUCAGCGACUUAUAUUCUGUAGCAAGGUUAACCGUAUAGGGGAGCCGUAGGGAAACCGAGUCUUAACUGGGCGAAUGAGUUGCAGGGUAUAGACCCGAAACCCGGUGAUCUAUCCAUGGGCAGGUUGAAGGUUGGGUAACACUAACUGGAGGACCGAACCGACUAAUGUUGAAAAAUUAGCGGAUGACUUGUGGAUGGGGGUGAAAGGCCAAUCAAACCGGGAGAUAGCUGGUUCUCCCCGAAAGCUAUUUAGGUAGCGCCUCGUGAACUCAUCUUCGGGGGUAGAGCACUGUUUCGACUAGGGGGUCAUCCCGACUUACCAACUCGAUGCAAACUGCGAAUACCGAAGAAUGUUAUCACGGGAGACACACGGCGGGUGCUAACGUCCGUCGUGAAGAGGGAAACAACCCAGACCGCCAGCUAAGGUCCCAAAGUCAUGGUUAAGUGGGAAACGAAGUGGGAAGGCUCAGACAGCCAGGAUGUUGGCUUAGAAGCAGCCAUCAUUUAAAGAAAGCGUAAUAGCUCACUGGUCGAGUCGGCCCGCGCGGAAGAUGUAACGGGGCUAAACCAUGCACCGAAGCUGCGGCAGCGA
RNAcentral lists this ribosomal RNA (1168 nucleotides) under Proteus mirabilis. Its description in RNAcentral is "partial 23S ribosomal RNA". It matches the Rfam family "Bacterial large subunit ribosomal RNA", at positions 1 to 1211 of the family's 2925-position model. The record is from RNAcentral. Lineage: Bacteria; Pseudomonadati; Pseudomonadota; Gammaproteobacteria; Enterobacterales; Morganellaceae.